AACGAACGCUGGCGGCGUGCCUAACACAUGCAAGCCGUGCGAGAAAGUUCCUUCGGGAGCGAGUAAAGCGGCGCACGGGUGAGUAACACGUAGGUAACCUGCCCCCCAGUCUGGAACAACUAGAGGAAACUCUAGCUAAUGCCGGAUGAGACCACGAUCCCUUCGGGGGUUGCGGCCAAAGAUGGCCUCUACUUGUAAGCUAUCGCUGAGGGAUGGGCCUGCGGGCCAUUAGCUUGUUGGUGAGGUAACGGCUCACCAAGGCUGUGAUGGCUAGCUGGUCUGAGAGGAUGACCAGCCACACUGGGACUGAGACACGGCCCAGACUCCUACGGGAGGCAGCAGUGGGGAAUAUUGCGCAAUGGGCGAAAGCCUGACGCAGCGACGCCGCGUGGGUGAUGAAGGCCUUC
This 407-nucleotide ribosomal RNA is filed under the name uncultured bacterium. RNAcentral's name for it is "bacterial SSU rRNA". It matches the Rfam family "Bacterial small subunit ribosomal RNA", at positions 29 to 419 of the family's 1533-position model. The record is from RNAcentral.